This 66-nucleotide transfer RNA is filed under the name Chrysis westerlundi. RNAcentral's name for it is "tRNA-Val". The record is from RNAcentral. Lineage: Eukaryota; Metazoa; Arthropoda; Insecta; Hymenoptera; Chrysididae.
AAAAUUUUAGUUUAAUUAAAAAUAUUUCAUUUACAUUGAAAUGAUUUGAUGAGUUUAAAAAUUUUA